This 73-nucleotide transfer RNA is filed under the name Planctomycetota bacterium. Its description in RNAcentral is "Planctomycetes bacterium tRNA-Trp". It matches the Rfam family "tRNA". Rfam says of the family: Transfer RNA (tRNA) molecules are approximately 80 nucleotides in length. Their secondary structure includes four short double-helical elements and three loops (D, anti-codon, and T loops). The record is from RNAcentral. Lineage: Bacteria; Pseudomonadati; Planctomycetota.
AGGGGUGUAGCUCAAUUGGCAGAGUUGCGGAUUCCAAAUCCGUAGGUUCAGGGUUCGAGUCCCUGCGCCCCUG